Malus domestica (apple) is the source of this 335-nucleotide non-coding RNA. The record is from RefSeq and is a predicted model, not a curated record. NCBI's taxonomy places the organism in Eukaryota, Viridiplantae, Streptophyta, Magnoliopsida, Rosales, Rosaceae.
CGAGACACAACAACACAAGAACACCCCCGGAGUCAGCAGCUCAGCUCAACCAAGGAUCUGCAAAUGUUGAGCAUACACCCGUGAGAAAACAAGCUUAAGCUGCCGGUCUAAUAGUCCCAGAAAGCAAAAUCAACAGCAACUGUCGCGGCCUCUGUAUGUCAUAUAGGGGUAUACGGAUCCAUGAUAGAGCCAAGGACACAGAAGUAAACACACAAGAGCAACGGAGGAAAAUAGCACAGGCCGCAUGACCCAGAUCGAUGCAUCUGGGAGGUAAAAUUCGAAUCCCUGCAAGUGUAAUUGUUGUAGAUCUGGUAAUAAUAUCUGUACUCAGUUCU